GAUGAACGCUGGCGGCGUGCCUAAUACAUGCAAGUCGAGCGAACGGACGAGAAGCUUGCUUCUCUGAUGUUAGCGGCGGACGGGUGAGUAACACGUGGAUAACCUACCUAUAAGACUGGGAUAGCUUCGGGAAACCGGAGCUAAUACCGGAUAAUAUUUUGAACCGCAUGGUUCAAAAGUGAAAGACGGUCUUGCUGUCACUUAUAGAUGGAUCCGCGCUGCAUUAGCUAGUUGGUAAGGUAACGGCUUACCAAGGCAACGAUGCAUAGCCGACCUGAGAGGGUGAUCGGCCACACUGGAACUGAGACACGGUCCAGACUCCUACGGGAGGCAGCAGUAGGGAAUCUUCCGCAAUGGGCGAAAGCCUGACGGAGCAACGCCGCGUGAGUGAUGAAGGUCUUCGGAUCGUAAAACUCUGUUAUUAGGGAAGAACAUAUGUGUAAGUAACUGUGCACAUCUUGACGGUACCUAAUCAGAAAGCCACGGCUAACUACGUGCCAGCAGCCGCGGUAAUACGUAGGUGGCAAGCGUUAUCCGGAAUUAUUGGGCGUAAAGCGCGCGUAGGCGGUUUUUUAAGUCUGAUGUGAAAGCCCACGGCUCAACCGUGGAGGGUCAUUGGAAACUGGAAAACUUGAGUGCAGAAGAGGAAAGUGGAAUUCCAUGUGUAGCGGUGAAAUGCGCAGAGAUAUGGAGGAACACCAGUGGCGAAGGCGACUUUCUGGUCUGUAACUGACGCUGAUGUGCGAAAGCGUGGGGAUCAAACAGGAUUAGAUACCCUGGUAGUCCACGCCGUAAACGAUGAGUGCUAAGUGUUAGGGGGUUUCCGCCCCUUAGUGCUGCAGCUAACGCAUUAAGCACUCCGCCUGGGGAGUACGACCGCAAGGUUGAAACUCAAAGGAAUUGACGGGGACCCGCACAAGCGGUGGAGCAUGUGGUUUAAUUCGAAGCAACGCGAAGAACCUUACCAAAUCUUGACAUCCUUUGACAACUCUAGAGAUAGAGCCUUCCCCUUCGGGGGACAAAGUGACAGGUGGUGCAUGGUUGUCGUCAGCUCGUGUCGUGAGAUGUUGGGUUAAGUCCCGCAACGAGCGCAACCCUUAAGCUUAGUUGCCAUCAUUAAGUUGGGCACUCUAAGUUGACUGCCGGUGACAAACCGGAGGAAGGUGGGGAUGACGUCAAAUCAUCAUGCCCCUUAUGAUUUGGGCUACACACGUGCUACAAUGGACAAUACAAAGGGCAGCGAAACCGCGAGGUCAAGCAAAUCCCAUAAAGUUGUUCUCAGUUCGGAUUGUAGUCUGCAACUCGACUACAUGAAGCUGGAAUCGCUAGUAAUCGUAGAUCAGCAUGCUACGGUGAAUACGUUCCCGGGUCU
This 1372-nucleotide ribosomal RNA is filed under the name uncultured bacterium. RNAcentral describes it as "bacterial SSU rRNA". It matches the Rfam family "Bacterial small subunit ribosomal RNA", at positions 28 to 1381 of the family's 1533-position model. The record is from RNAcentral.